This 347-nucleotide ribosomal RNA is filed under the name Ceylonthelphusa rugosa. RNAcentral describes it as "partial 12S ribosomal RNA". Lineage: Eukaryota; Metazoa; Arthropoda; Malacostraca; Decapoda; Parathelphusidae. The record is from RNAcentral.
AUUUACUAUAAAUUUACAGAAUUUGGCGGUGGUUUAGUCUUAUUAGAGGAACCUGUUUUUUAAUCGAUAUUCCACGAAAAAUCUUACUUGCUUUAAAUGGUUUGUAUACCAUCAUUAUCAGAUAAUUUUUUAUAAUAUUUAUUAGAAGGAAAAAUAAUUAUUGGAAUUAGUUUGUUAAAAAAAUUAGAUCAAGGUGCAGCUAAAAAUAAGUAAGUUAAAAUGGGUUACAAUAAAUAUUUAUUUAUUAUGGAUGUAGUUAGUAAGUAUAAUUAUAGAAGGAGGAUUUAAUUGUAAUAUAAGUUUAAUAAGCUUAAAUGAUGUAAGCUCUAAAUCAUGUACACAUCGCC